UACGUAGGUGGCAAGCGUUGUCCGGAUUUAUUGGGCGUAAAGGGAGCGCAGGUGGUUUCUUAAGUCUGAUGUGAAAGCCCACGGCUUAACCGUGGAGGGUCAUUGGAAACUGGGGAACUUGAGUGCAGAAGAGGAAAGUGGAAUUCCAAGUGUAGCGGUGGAAUGCGUAGAUAUUUGGAGGAACACCAGUGGCGAAGGCGACUUUCUGGUCUGUAACUGACACUGAGGCUCGAAAGCGUGGGGAGCGAACAGGGUUAGAUACCCUGGUAGUCCCUGAG
RNAcentral lists this ribosomal RNA (278 nucleotides) under uncultured prokaryote. Its description in RNAcentral is "partial 16S ribosomal RNA". It matches the Rfam family "Bacterial small subunit ribosomal RNA", at positions 524 to 801 of the family's 1533-position model. The record is from RNAcentral.